RNAcentral lists this ribosomal RNA (247 nucleotides) under Klebsiella pneumoniae. Its description in RNAcentral is "partial 16S ribosomal RNA". It matches the Rfam family "Bacterial small subunit ribosomal RNA", at positions 110 to 360 of the family's 1533-position model. Lineage: Bacteria; Pseudomonadati; Pseudomonadota; Gammaproteobacteria; Enterobacterales; Enterobacteriaceae. The record is from RNAcentral.
GUAAUGUCUGGGAAACUGCCUGAUGGAGGGGGAUAACUACUGGAAACGGUAGCUAAUACCGCAUAAUGCCGCAAGACCAAAGUGGGGGACCUUCGGGCCUCAUGCCAUCAGAUGUGCCCAGAUGGGAUUAGCUAGUAGGUGGGGUAAUGGCUCACCUAGGCGACGAUCCCUAGCUGGUCUGAGAGGAUGACCAGCCACACUGGAACUGAGACACGGUCCAGACUCCUACGGGAGGCAGCAGUGGGGA